GUCUACAGCCAUACCACCCUGAAUGCACCCGAUCUCAUCUGAUCUCGGAAGCUAAGCAGGGUCGGGCCUGGUUAGUACUUGGAUGGGAGAAAGGUCUUUCCAGCAGCAGGGUGGAGAGUGGUGUGGAAGAGG
Ribosomal RNA from Otolemur garnettii (small-eared galago), 132 nucleotides. NCBI's taxonomy places the organism in Eukaryota, Metazoa, Chordata, Mammalia, Primates, Galagidae. The record is from Ensembl.